GAUGAACGCUGGCGGCGUGCCUAAUACAUGCAAGUCGAGCGAACAGACGAGGAGCUUGCUCCUCUGACGUUAGCGGCGGACGGGUGAGUAACACGUGGAUAACCUACCUAUAAGACUGGGAUAAAUUCGGGAAACCGGAGCUAAUACCGGAUAAUAUAUUGAACCGCAUGGUUCAAUAGUGAAAGACGGUUUUGCUGUCACUUAUAGAUGGAUCCGCGCCGCAUUAGAUAGUUGGUAAGGUAACGGCUUACCAAGGCAACGAUGCGUAGCCGACCUGAGAGGAUGAUCGGCCACACUGGAACUGAGACACGGUCCAGACUCCUACGGGAGGCAGCAGUGGGGAAUCUUCCGCAAUGGGCGAAAGCCUGACGGAGCAACGCCGAGUGAGUGAUGAAGGUCUUCGGAUCGUAAAACUAUGUUAUUAGGGAAGAACAAAUGUGUAAGUAACUAUGCACGUCUUGACGGUACCUAAUCAGAAAGCCACGGCUAACUCCGUG
RNAcentral lists this ribosomal RNA (497 nucleotides) under uncultured bacterium. Its description in RNAcentral is "partial 16S ribosomal RNA". It matches the Rfam family "Bacterial small subunit ribosomal RNA", at positions 28 to 507 of the family's 1533-position model. The record is from RNAcentral.